GGCUAGGUUUCCUCGACAAUGUUCGUCAGUCGAGGGUUAGUCGGUCCUAAGACGUACCGUAAUUCGAGUACGCCGAAAGGGAAACAGGUUAAUAUUCCUGUACCUGUAUCAAACAAUCCUGACGCUUUCGGAUAGGCAUUGCGGAGCCAUCGCUCCGUCUAAGCUGGAUAUGAAAUUGGAGUACCGUAAUGGUGAGAAUUUUUCAAAACGGUGAUGGGGUAACAAUGCUGAUUCCAGGAGCCCGUGAAAAGGGUGAUACGGUCCGCACCGAGAACUGACACAGGUGCCCCUCGCUGAGAAGGCGAAGGCGUGUCGGGAGUAAAUGUGUUAAGGGAACUCGGCAAAUUAGCCCUGUAACUUUGGGAUAAGGGGUGCCUGCCCAGCGAUUGGGCAGGUCGCAGUGACAAGAUCGCUCCGACUGUCUAAUAACAACAUAGCAGACUGCAACUCCGAAAGGACUCGUAUAGUCCGUGAUUCCUGCCCAGUGCGAGUAUCUGAACACCGGGUUCAACCGGACGAAGGACUCGUAAACGGCGGGGGUAACAACGACCCUCUUAAGGUAGCGUAGUACCUUGUCGCUUAAUUGGCGACUUGCAUGAAUGGAAUAACGAGAGCGAUACUGUCCCUAACACAUACCCGUUGAACCUUUUGUACUAGUGCAGAGACUAGUGACUCCUUAUGGGAAGUGAAGACCCCGUGGAGCUUUACUGCAGCCUGUCGUUGGGUUACGGUAUUACCUGCGCAGGGUAGAUGGGAGACGUCGAUCCAACCCUUGUGGGGGUUGGUUAGUCAACGAUGAGACACCAUCCUGGUUUUAUUGUAAUUCUAACUGAUUUAUCAGGACAUCGAUAGGUAGGCAGUUUGGGUGGGGCGCCACACCCUCGAAAAAAUAUCAAGGGUGCCCUAAGGUCAACUCAAGCGGGUCAGAAACCCGCUGAAGAGUGUCAAGAGCAAAAGUUGGCCUGACGCGAUUUCGCAUAGCAAGAAAUCGCGAGAGGAAACUCGGGUCUAACGAACCAAUACGCCCUGUUGAUGAGGGCUAUUGACUACAGAAAAGCUACCCCGGGGAUAACAGAGUCGUCGCCGGCAAGAGCACAUAUCGACCCGGCGGCUUGCUACCUCGAUGUCGGUUCUUUCCAUCCUGGCUGUGCAGCAGCAGCCAAGGGUGAGGUUGUUCGCCUAUUAAAGGGGAUCGUGAGCUGGGUUUAGACCGUCGUGAGACAGGUCGGUUACUAUCUAUAAGGAGUGUUGGAAGUCUGAAGGCAAGAAUGAAAUAGUAUGAGAGGAACUUUCAUUCGGCGCCACUGGUCUACCGGUUGUCUGACAAGGCACCGCCGGGCAGCUACGCGCCAAGAGAUAAAAGCUGAAAGCAUCUAAGCUUGAAACUCAGCCUGAACAAGAGACUUCAUUAAAGACACGGGUAAAAGACCCGGUUGAUAGGUUCGGGAUGUACGCACGAAGGCAACGACGUGUUCAGUCCGCGAAUACUAAUUGU
This 1495-nucleotide ribosomal RNA is filed under the name metagenome. Its description in RNAcentral is "bacterial LSU rRNA". It matches the Rfam family "Archaeal large subunit ribosomal RNA", at positions 1432 to 2971 of the family's 2987-position model. The record is from RNAcentral.